Molecule: unclassified non-coding RNA, 240 nt
Filed under: Hevea brasiliensis (rubber tree)
Lineage: Eukaryota; Viridiplantae; Streptophyta; Magnoliopsida; Malpighiales; Euphorbiaceae
Source: RNAcentral
GAACACUCAAUUGUGUCAGUUGAACACUCAAACUUACAAAACGAUCCUCUGAAUACCUCCAAAAUUUAUGUGACACGCCAGUGAUGGGUGUCCAUGAGACAGUGGCGAUGAGUUGGGGUGUUUAGUUAUCAGUUGAGACCAAGUUGAGGUGUCUAGAUGUGCACUCUCAAAGUCAAAGUAAUUACCUGAAGUUUGAGUGUCUAUUUAUGUAUUAUGCCUUAAAACUACGAUGCGUCUCAA